This 441-nucleotide ribosomal RNA is filed under the name uncultured bacterium. RNAcentral describes it as "partial 16S ribosomal RNA". It matches the Rfam family "Bacterial small subunit ribosomal RNA", at positions 338 to 795 of the family's 1533-position model. The record is from RNAcentral.
CCUACGGGAGGCAGCAGUGGGGAAUAUUGCACAAUGGGGGAAACCCUGAUGCAGCGACGCCGCGUGAGUGAAGAAGGCUUUCCGGAUGUAAAGCUCUAUCAGCAGGAACGAGACCCGACGGUCCCUGACUACGACGCCCCGGCUCAAUACGUGCCAGCAGCCGCGGUAAUACGUAGGGGGCUAGCGUUAUCCGGAUUUACUGGGGGUAAAGGGAGCGUAGACGGUGCGCCAAGUCUGGAGUGAAAUGCCGCAGCUUAACUGCGGAACUGCUUUGGAAACUGGCGAACUAGAGUGCGGGAGGGGUAAGCGGAAUUCCUAGUGUAGCGGUGAAAUGCGUAGAUAUCAGGAGGAACACCGGUGGCGAAGGCGGCUUACUGGACCGUAACUGACGUUGAGGCUCGAAAGCGUGGGUAGCAAACAGGAUUAGAUACCCUUGUAGUC